AUUCAACUGACGAGUCCCAAAUAGGACGAGACGCGUGUCCUAUGAAAU
RNAcentral lists this non-coding RNA (48 nucleotides) under Schistosoma haematobium. The record is from RNAcentral. Lineage: Eukaryota; Metazoa; Platyhelminthes; Trematoda; Strigeidida; Schistosomatidae.